This 1477-nucleotide ribosomal RNA is filed under the name uncultured bacterium. RNAcentral describes it as "partial 16S ribosomal RNA". It matches the Rfam family "Bacterial small subunit ribosomal RNA". The record is from RNAcentral.
AGAGUUUGAUCCUGGCUCAGGACGAACGCUGGCGGCGGGCUUAAUACAUGCAAGUCGAACGCAGUCGACCUUCGGGUCACAUGACUGAGUGGCGAACGGGUGAGUAACACGUGAGAAACCUGCCUCGAAGACUGGAAUAACCCGGGGAAACCCGGGCUAAUACCGGAUAUCCCCAGAUGGCCGCAUGGCCGACUGAGGAAAUGCUCCGGCGCUUCGAGAGGGUCUCACGGCCUAUCAGCUAGUUGGUGAGGUAACGGCUCACCAAGGCAUCGACGGGUAGCUGGUCUGAGAGGACGAUCAGCCACACUGGGACUGAGAUACGGCCCAGACUCCUACGGGAGGCAGCAGUAGGGAAUCUUGCGCAAUGGGCGAAAGCCUGACGCAGCCACGCCGCGUGAGUGAUGAAGGCCUUCGGGUCGUAAAGCUCUUUCAGCAGGGACGAAAAUGACGGUACCUGCAGAAGAAGCCCCGGCCAACUACGUGCCAGCAGCCGCGGUAACACGUAGGGGGCAAGCGUUGUCCGGAUUUAUUGGGCGUAAAGGGCUCGUAGGCUGUUCAGUAAGUCAGGUGUGAAAACUCGAGGCUCAACCUCGAGACGCCACUUGAUACUGCUGUGACUUGAGUUCGGUAGAGGAGUGUGGAAUUCCUAGUGUAGCGGUGAAAUGCGUAGAUAUCAGAAGGAACAUCAAUGGCGAAGGCAGCUUUCUGGACCAAUACUGACGCUGAGGUACGAAAGCGUGGGUAGCAAACAGGAUUAGAUACCCUGGUAGUCCACGCCGUAAACGAUGAUAACUAGCCGUUGGGGGGAUUUACCCCUUAGUGGCGAAGCUAACGCGUUAAGUUAUCCGCCUGGGGAGUACGGCCGCAAGGCUAAAACUCAAAGGAAUUGACGGGGACCCGCACAAGCGGUGGAGCAUGUGGUUUAAUUCGAUGCAACGCGAAGAACCUUACCUGGUCUUGACAUCCUGCGAACUUUCUAGAAAUAGAUUGGUGCCUUCGGGAACGCAGUGACAGGUGCUGCAUGGCUGUCGUCAGCUCGUGUCGUGAGAUGUUGGGUUAAGUCCCGUAACGAGCGCAACCCCUAUCCUUAUUUGCCAGCACAUUAUGGUGGGAACUAUAAGGAGACCGCCGGUGAUAAACCGGAGGAAGGCGGGGACGACGUCAAGUCAUCAUGGCCCUUACGACCAGGGCUACACACGUGCUACAAUGGGAAGGACAAAGAGCCGCGAAGCCGCGAGGUGUAGCUAAUCUCAUAAAUCUUUUCGUAGUCCGGAUUGGAGUCUGCAACUCGACUCCAUGAAGUCGGAAUCGCUAGUAAUCGUAGAUCAGAAUGCUACGGUGAAUACGUUCCCGGGUCUUGUACACACCGCCCGUCAUACCAUGGGAGUGGGUUGCACCAGAAGUGGCUAGUCUAACUUAGUGAGGACGGUCACCACGGUGUGAUUCAUGACUGGGGUAAAGUCGUAACAAGGUAACC